GCGGACGGGUGAGUAAUACUUAGGAAUCUGCCUAUUARUGGGGGACAACAUCUCGAAAGGRAUGCUAAUACCGCAUACGYCCUACGGGRGAAAGCAGGGGAUCACUUGUGACCUUGCGYUAAUAGAUGAGCCUAAGUCGGAUUAGCUAGUUGGUGGGGUAAAGGCCUACCAAGGCGACGAUCUGUAGCGGGUCUGAGAGGAUGAUCCGCCACACUGGGACUGAGACACGGCCCAGACUCCUACGGGAGGCAGCAGUGGGGAAUAUUGGACAAUGGGGGGAACCCUGAUCCAGCCAUGCCGCGUGUGUGAAGAAGGCCUUWUGGUUGUAAAGCACUUUAAGCGAGGAGGAGGCUMYYUURGUUAAUACCYARRRAKAGUGGACGUUACUCGCAGAAUAAGCACCGGCUAACUCUGUGCCAGCAGCCGCGGUAAUACAGAGGGUGCGAGCGUUAAUCGGAUUUACUGGGCGUAAAGCGUGCGUAGGYGGCYWWUUAAGUCRRAUGUGAAAUCCCCGAGCUUAACUUGGGAAUUGCAUUCGAUACUGGKWRGCUAGAGUAUGGGAGAGGAUGGUAGAAUUCCAGGUGUAGCGGUGAAAUGCGUAGAGAUCUGGAGGAAUACCGAUGGCGAAGGCAGCCAUCUGGCCUAAUACUGACRCUGAGGUACGAAAGCAUGGGGAGCAAACAGGAUUAGAUACCCUGGUAGUCCAUGCCGUAAAC
RNAcentral lists this ribosomal RNA (716 nucleotides) under Acinetobacter sp. Its description in RNAcentral is "partial 16S ribosomal RNA". It matches the Rfam family "Bacterial small subunit ribosomal RNA", at positions 98 to 807 of the family's 1533-position model. The record is from RNAcentral. Lineage: Bacteria; Pseudomonadati; Pseudomonadota; Gammaproteobacteria; Moraxellales; Moraxellaceae.